AAUGUAUUAUUAUUUUUAGACAAAUAGUUUUAAUUUUAAAAGAAAACACUAUUAUAACUUUAGGACGUUUACAUUUUUAAAUUUCUAUCAAAGUUAUUAAAUAUGAACUUAUCGUCCAUUUUCAAGUUAGAUAAGAAUUUAUCUUGCUUGUUCUUUAUUUCUAGGUUUACUUUUUUCUAGUUCACUCUUUCAGUAAAUGGUUACUUGCAGAUUAAAUUUAUAGUAAAGAUAAUGCAUUUUACUUAUUAGAAGAAAUAAAAACAAAUUGUAUAUGAUUUAUAGAUAAUCGCGUAUUCAAAUAAUGUUAUGAUUAUAAAAAUAAUUACACAAUGUAUUUUGAGCUUUUUUUGAUAAACUAUAUUAUUGAGGUUAAAUAUUAUUCUCAAUUUUUAAAUUACAUCAAGUAUAUUAAAGUUAAUGGUUACUUAUAUAAUUUAAAUUAUAACUUUACAAUUUUAG
This is a non-coding RNA of Cinara cedri, 459 nucleotides long. Lineage: Eukaryota; Metazoa; Arthropoda; Insecta; Hemiptera; Aphididae. The record is from the annotation of a GenBank genome assembly.